RNAcentral lists this ribosomal RNA (253 nucleotides) under uncultured bacterium. RNAcentral describes it as "partial 16S ribosomal RNA". It matches the Rfam family "Bacterial small subunit ribosomal RNA", at positions 524 to 776 of the family's 1533-position model. The record is from RNAcentral.
GACAGAGGGGGCGAGCGUUGUCCGGAGUCACUGGGCGUAAAGCGCGCGCAGGCGGCAACCUUAGUGUCGUGUGAAAGCCCCCGGCUCAACCGGGGGAGGCCAUGGCAAACUGGGUCGCUCGAGCUGCGGAGAGGCCCCUCGAAUUGCCGGUGUAGCGGUGAAGUGCGUAGAGAUCGGCAGGAAGGCCAAGGGGGAAGCCAGGGGGCUGGCCGCAGGCUGACGCUGAGGCGCGACAGAGUGGGGAGCAAACCGG